Molecule: ribosomal RNA, 279 nt
Filed under: uncultured bacterium
Lineage: Bacteria
Description: partial 16S ribosomal RNA
Rfam family: Bacterial small subunit ribosomal RNA
Source: RNAcentral
UGCCAGCAGCCGCGGUAAUACGUAGGGUGCAAGCGUUAAUCGGAAUUACUGGGCGUAAAGCGUGCGCAGGCUGUUUUGUAAGUCAGAUGUGAAAUCCCCGAGCUCAACUUGGGAACUGCGUUUGAAACUACAAGACUAGAAUAGGUCAGAGGGGGGUAGAAUUCCACGUGUAGCAGUGAAAUGCGUAGAGAUGUGGAGGAAUACCAAUGGCGAAGGCAGCCCCCUGGGAUCAUAUUGACGCUCAUGCACGAAAGCGUGGGGAGCGAACAGGAUUAGAUA